CUUAAACAAAAAGAAAAAACACUAAUUAACAAUAUAGAGAUAUAAUAUAUCAAAACAAGUCAUAUAAUAUUAUAAAUCGUCUAUGAAAGUUUCAAUAACUAAGAUGUUUCUGAUUCCAAUUAAACGGAGGUAUUAUUCGUAUUUGUAUCAACAGAUGUACUCGCUCCACCUUUGCUCUCUGUUUUGAUUUCCUUUGAAUCAUCUUUGGAAAACUUUCGACAAGACAAAGUAUGGAUUACAUGUCUGCGAAAUUUGUGAUCGAAAAAGGCAUAGAUAAAUGGAUUUGUCACAUGAUUUAAAACGUAUGUCCGAGAAAACAACUCAAUGGUCAAACUUUCCGACUGUGUGAGACUUGUCCAGUCCAAAUGCUUUCCGAAGGCUUUUAUUGCUAUAAUAGGUAUAUAGCUGACUGCAAAGAUAACACUGAUAGUAAAUGUUAUUUUUGUCAUUUUAACAGAAAGGUCCUUUGAUUCUUGGACACUUUUGUUCAUACCAAUAUACAAUUCUUUCUUUUUCCUUUGAAGAUACAGUUUUCUUGCUAUCAAGGAGUACAGUAUUACGAGUGUAAAAAGGCACCCGAUGAAAUAUGCUACAAGAAGAUAAUCGUGUACAGAUCCAUACGUUGUAUUACUAGAGUUCACUGGGCAAUGAAAGGCGGUGAGAUUCGGUGAUAAUUUUAACUCAAUGGUAGGCUGUAACAUAACAUCUUGAAUGGAAAAAUAUAAUCCCAUAACAAUACAUCCAAGUACGAAAUAUUUGAUAUUCUUUAAGGUGAUUUGUCGACCGAAAGGUAUACAGAUUUGACGAUGUCGAUGUAUCGAAAGCACUAUCAAAAGGCUUGAAGAAACCAUGACAAGAAAUACGAAAAUUAGAGUAAAUAAUUGACAAGCCCAUCUCUCCGUGAACGUAAAAAAUCGGAUAAUUCUGCUUAUAUUGAAAGGUGUGCCAGUCAUACAAAAGAGAAUAUCUGUCCAUGCCAAACUCCAAAUAAGUGUUCUGUAAACGGAUUCCCUGUAGGUUUGUCGAUAAAUAAGUAAAACAAUCAAAUUUCCUGGAAUUCCAACUAGUAAUGUACCACACAAAAAAACUAAGCUCGGAGUCAAUUUUUCAAUUUGACCAUCAUCCAUGUGCUUUAAAAUCUCCAUAUUGGUAAACUUCGUUACACUAUUAUUCAACAUUGGUGCAACAUAGGCAAACGAAUGUCAAUUUCUUCUGUUUAUAUCAAAUUCUAAGUAAUGUAUCUAAGUAUUAUUAAUUAACACAUAAUGAAAUAUUCAUCCUUGAUAACAGGAUAUGUCGGACAAAAAUU
This 1309-nucleotide long non-coding RNA is filed under the name Mytilus galloprovincialis (Mediterranean mussel). Lineage: Eukaryota; Metazoa; Mollusca; Bivalvia; Mytilida; Mytilidae. The record is from RNAcentral.